Molecule: ribosomal RNA, 840 nt
Filed under: Xanthoparmelia chlorochroa
Lineage: Eukaryota; Fungi; Ascomycota; Lecanoromycetes; Lecanorales; Parmeliaceae
Also listed under: 1 other name
Description: eukaryotic LSU rRNA
Rfam family: Eukaryotic large subunit ribosomal RNA
Source: RNAcentral
CAGUAACGGCGAGUGAAGCGGCAACAGCUCAAAUUUGAAAUCUGGCUCCUUCGGGGUCCGAAUUGUAAUUUGUAGAGAGUGCUUCGGGCGAGACCUCGGUCUAAGUCCAUUGGAACAUGGUGUCAUAGAGGGUGAGAAUCCCGUAUGCGACCGUGGCUCGAGCCCAUGUGAAGCCUCUUCGACGAGUCGAGUUGUUUGGGAAUGCAGCUCAAAACGGGUGGUAAAUUUCAUCUAAAGCUAAAUACUGGCUGGAGACCGAUAGCGCACAAGUAGAGUGAUCGAAAGAUGAAAAGCACUUUGGAAAGAGAGUCAAACAGUACGUGAAAUUGUUGAAAGGGAAGCGCUUGCAACCAGACCUGUCCGUAGGCGAUCAGCCGCUGUUCUCAGCGGUGCACUCGCUCUGCGAUCAGGCCAGCAUCGGUUUCGGCGGUCGGAUAAAGGCCUUGGGAAUGUAGCUUCCCUUCGGGGGAGUCUUAUAGCCCUCGGUGCAAUGCGGCCAGCCGGGACCGAGGACCGCGCUUCGGCUAGGAUGCUGGCGUAAUGGUUGUAAGCGACCCGUCUUGAAACACGGACCAAGGAGUCUAACAUCUAUGCGAGUGUUUGGGUGUCAAACCCAUACGCGGAAUGAAAGUGAACGGAGGUGAGAACCCUUAAGGGCGCAUCAUCGACCGAUCCAGAUGUCUUCGGAUGGAUUUGAGUAUGAGCAUAGCUGUUGGGACCCGAAAGAUGGUGAACUAUGCCUGAAUAGGGUGAAGCCAGAGGAAACUCUGGUGGAGGCUCGCAGCGGUUCUGACGUGCAAAUCGAUCGUCAAAUUUGGGUAUAGGGGCGAAAGACUAAUC